Molecule: ribosomal RNA, 443 nt
Filed under: uncultured bacterium
Lineage: Bacteria
Description: partial 16S ribosomal RNA
Rfam family: Bacterial small subunit ribosomal RNA
Source: RNAcentral
CCUACGGGUGGCAGCAGUGGGGAAUAUUGCACAAUGGGGGGAACCCUGAUGCAGCAACGCCGCGUGAAGGAAGACGGUUUUCGGAUUGUAAACUUCUAUCAAUAGGGAAGAAAGAAGUGACGAUACCUAAAUAAUAAGCCCCGGCUAACUACGUGCCAGCAGCCGCGGUAAUUCGGAGGGGGCAAGCGUUAUCCGGAAUUACUUGGUGUAAAGGGAGAGUAGGCGGAAAGGUAAGCGAUAUGUGAAAGCCUUAGGGUUAACCUGAGGCUUGCAUAAAGUACUAUCUAGCUAGAGUACAGGCGAGGAAGGCGGAAUAAGUAGUGUAGCGGUGAAAUGCGUAGAUAUUAGGAAGAACACCAGUGGCGAAGGCGGCUUUCUGGACUGAAACUGACGCUGAGGCUCGAGAGCGUGGGGAGCGAACAGGAUUAGAUACCCUUGUAGUC